GGGUUGUGAGGUUAAGCGACUAAGCGUACACGGUGGAUGCCCUGGCAGUCAGAGGCGAUGAAGGACGUGCUAAUCUGCGAAAAGCGUCGGUAAGGUGAUAUGAACCGUUAUAACCGGCGAUGUCCGAAUGGGGAAACCCAGUGCAAUUCGUUGCACUAUCGUUAACUGAAUACAUAGGUUAACGAGGCGAACCGGGGGAACUGAAACAUCUAAGUACCCCGAGGAAAAGAAAUCAACCGAGAUUCCCCCAGUAGCGGCGAGCGAACGGGGAGCAGCCCAGAGUCUGAAUCAGCUUGUGUGUUAGUGGAACGGUCUGGAAAGUCCGACGGUACAGGGUGAUAGUCCCGUACACCAAAAUGCACAGGUUGUGAACUCGAAGAGUAGGGCGGGACACGUGGUAUCCUGUCUGAAUAUGGGGGGACCAUCCUCCAAGGCUAAAUACUCCUGACUGACCGAUAGUGAACCAGUACCGUGAGGGAAAGGCGAAAAGAACCCCGGCGAGGGGAGUGAAAAAGAACCUGAAACCGUGUACGUACAAGCAGUGGGAGCACCUUCGGGUGUGACUGCGUACCUUUUGUAUAAUGGGUCAGCGACUUAUAUUCUGUAGCAAGGUUAACCGUAUAGGGGAGCCGCAGGGAAACCGAGUCUUAACUGGGCGUUAAGUUGCAGGGUAUAGACCCGAAACCCGGUGAUCUAGCCAUGGGCAGGUUGAAGGUUGGGUAACACUAACUGGAGGACCGAACCGACUAAUGUUGAAAAAUUAGCGGAUGACUUGUGGCUGGGGGUGAAAGGCCAAUCAAACCGGGAGAUAGCUGGUUCUCCCCGAAAGCUAUUUAGGUAGCGCCUCGUGAACUCAUCUUCGGGGGUAGAGCACUGUUUCGGCUAGGGGGUCAUCCCGACUUACCAACCCGAUGCAAACUACGAAUACCGAAGAAUGUUAUCACGGGAGACACACGGCGGGUGCUAACGUCCGUCGUGAAGAGGGAAACAACCCAGACCGCCAGCUAAGGUCCCAAAGUCAUGGUUAAGUGGGAAACGAUGUGGGAAGGCACAGACAGCCAGGAUGUUGGCUUAGAAGCAGCCAUCAUUUAAAGAAAGCGUAAUAGCUCACUGGUCGAGUCGGCCUGCGCGGAAGAUGUAACGGGGCUAAACCAUGCACCGAAGCUGCGGCAGCGACACUAUGUGUUGUUGGGUAGGGGAGCGUUCUGUAAGCCUGCGAAGGUGACCUGUGAGGGUUGCUGGAGGUAUCAGAAGUGCGAAUGCUGACAUAAGUAACGAUAAAGCGGGUGAAAAGCCCGCUCGCCGGAAGACCAAGGGUUCCUGUCCAACGUUAAUCGGGGCAGGGUGAGUCGACCCCUAAGGCGAGGCCGAAAGGCGUAGUCGAUGGGAAACAGGUUAAUAUUCCUGUACUUGGUGUUACUGCGAAGGGGGGACGGAGAAGGCUAUGUUAGCCGGGCGACGGUUGUCCCGGUUUAAGCAUGUAGGCUGGUUAUCCAGGCAAAUCCGGAUAAUCAAGGCUGAGGUGUGAUGACGAGGCACUACGGUGCUGAAGUAACAAAUGCCCUGCUUCCAGGAAAAGCCUCUAAGCAUCAGGUAACAUCAAAUCGUACCCCAAACCGACACAGGUGGUCAGGUAGAGAAUACCAAGGCGCUUGAGAGAACUCGGGUGAAGGAACUAGGCAAAAUGGUGCCGUAACUUCGGGAGAAGGCACGCUGGUGUGUAGGUGAAGCCCCUGCGGGUGGAGCUGAGACCAGUCGAAGAUACCAGCUGGCUGCAACUGUUUAUUAAAAACACAGCACUGUGCAAACACGAAAGUGGACGUAUACGGUGUGACGCCUGCCCGGUGCCGGAAGGUUAAUUGAUGGGGUUAUCCGUAAGGAGAAGCUCUUGAUCGAAGCCCCGGUAAACGGCGGCCGUAACUAUAACGGUCCUAAGGUAGCGAAAUUCCUUGUCGGGUAAGUUCCGACCUGCACGAAUGGCGUAAUGAUGGCCAGGCUGUCUCCACCCGAGACUCAGUGAAAUUGAACUCGCUGUGAAGAUGCAGUGUACCCGCGGCAAGACGGAAAGACCCCGUGAACCUUUACUAUAGCUUGACACUGAACAUUGAGCCUUGAUGUGUAGGAUAGGUGGGAGGCUUUGAAGCGUGGACGCCAGUCUGCGUGGAGCCAACCUUGAAAUACCACCCUUUAAUGUUUGAUGUUCUAACGUUGGCCCCUUACCGGGGUUGCGGACAGUGUCUGGUGGGUAGUUUGACUGGGGCGGUCUCCUCCCAAAGCGUAACGGAGGAGCACGAAGGUUAGCUAAUCCUGGUCGGACAUCAGGAGGUUAGUGCAAUGGCAUAAGCUAGCUUGACUGCGAGCGUGACGGCGCGAGCAGGUGCGAAAGCAGGUCAUAGUGAUCCGGUGGUUCUGAAUGGAAGGGCCAUCGCUCAACGGAUAAAAGGUACUCCGGGGAUAACAGGCUGAUACCGCCCAAGAGUUCAUAUCGACGGCGGUGUUUGGCACCUCGAUGUCGGCUCAUCACAUCCUGGGGCUGAAGUAGGUCCCAAGGGUAUGGCUGUUCGCCAUUUAAAGUGGUACGCGAGCUGGGUUUAGAACGUCGUGAGACAGUUCGGUCCCUAUCUGCCGUGGGCGCUGGAGAAUUGAGGGGGGCUGCUCCUAGUACGAGAGGACCGGAGUGGACGCAUCACUGGUGUUCGGGUUGUCAUGCCAAUGGCACUGCCCGGUAGCUAAAUGCGGAAGAGAUAAGUGCUGAAAGCAUCUAAGCACGAAACUUGCCCCGAGAUGAGUUCUCCCUGAGACUUUAAGUCUCCUGAAGGAACGUUGAAGACGACGACGUUGAUAGGCCGGGUGUGUAAGCGCAGCGAUGCGUUGAGCUAACCGGUACUAAUGAACCGUGAGGCUUAACCUUACAACGCCGAAG
RNAcentral lists this ribosomal RNA (2923 nucleotides) under Klebsiella pneumoniae. RNAcentral's name for it is "bacterial LSU rRNA". It matches the Rfam family "Bacterial large subunit ribosomal RNA". The record is from RNAcentral. RNAcentral also lists the same sequence under 1 other name. Lineage: Bacteria; Pseudomonadati; Pseudomonadota; Gammaproteobacteria; Enterobacterales; Enterobacteriaceae.